RNAcentral lists this ribosomal RNA (458 nucleotides) under Theileria annulata. RNAcentral describes it as "SSU rRNA". It matches the Rfam family "Eukaryotic small subunit ribosomal RNA", at positions 486 to 984 of the family's 1831-position model. Lineage: Eukaryota; Apicomplexa; Aconoidasida; Piroplasmida; Theileriidae. The record is from RNAcentral.
CGGGGCUUAAAGUCUUGUAAUUGGAAUGAUGGGAAUUUAAACCUCUUCCAGAGUAUCAAUUGGAGGGCAAGUCUGGUGCCAGCAGCCGCGGUAAUUCCAGCUCCAAUAGCGUAUAUUAAAAUUGUUGCAGUUAAAAAGCUCGUAGUUGAAUUUCUGCUGCAUUGCUUGUGUCCCUCUGGGGUCUGUGCAUGUGGCUUUUUUCAGACGGAGUUUCUUUGUCUGAAUGUUUACUUUGAGAAAAUUAGAGUGCUCAAAGCAGGCUUUCGCCUUGAAUAGUUUAGCAUGGAAUAAUAAAGUAGGACUUUGGUUCUAUUUUGUUGGUUUUAGGUACCAAAGUAAUGGUUAAUAGGAACAGUUGGGGGCAUUCGUAUUUAACUGUCAGAGGUGAAAUUCUUAGAUUAGUUAAAGACGAACUACUGCGAAAGCAUUUGCCAAGGAUGUUUUCAUUAAUCAAGAAC